Molecule: ribosomal RNA, 223 nt
Filed under: uncultured bacterium
Lineage: Bacteria
Description: partial 16S ribosomal RNA
Rfam family: Bacterial small subunit ribosomal RNA
Source: RNAcentral
CCUUACUCGGGGAUAGCCUUUCGAAAGAAAGAUUAAUACCCGAUGGCAUAGUUCUUCCGCAUGGUGGAACUAUUAAAGAAUUUCGGUCAUCGAUGGGGAUGCGUUCCAUUAGGUUGUUGGCGGGGUAACGGCCCACCAAGCCUUCGAUGGAUAGGGGUUCUGAGAGGAAGGUCCCCCACAUUGGAACUGAGACACGGUCCAAACUCCUACGGGAGGCAGCAUG